This 765-nucleotide long non-coding RNA is filed under the name Nicotiana benthamiana. RNAcentral's name for it is "long non-coding RNA (NBEN_LNC017018)". The record is from RNAcentral. Lineage: Eukaryota; Viridiplantae; Streptophyta; Magnoliopsida; Solanales; Solanaceae.
AUGAUUAUAUCCCUAGUCAACCACUUUGAGGCAUAGCCCUUACUUUCAAUAACCUUGAUAAAAAGCCUUUAUUCGUUCUGAAUGACCCUCUCUCUUCACCCUAUCUUUCCUUAGCACAAGGCAAAAGCAUAAGUUUGUGAGGUGAGACGAGAAAUGCAAAAGUGAUAAAAGGUACAAAAUGAAGAAAAUGAAAGGUGAAAAGAGAAAAUAAAAGAAAGAAAGGACAAAAAGUCAAAAAGAAAGUGAACAAUGUAGAGGAAAACAAAAGAUGAAAGGCAUGGAAAGGUUGGAAAGGAGAAAAAGAAUUGAAAUGUACAAGAAAGAGUGAAAGUGUGCCUAUCUAACCCCUAAAUAAGUAAAUGAUUCAAAAAGUCAAGAAAAUGUGUGCCAAAAUGAAGCAAAUAAAGUGCUUAAGGGAAGGUGAAACCAUCUUAGACCAAUAUAUCCUACCCUGAACCAAAAGCCUUCAUUACAUUCCCACAAAAGCCCUAUAUGAUCUUAAGUUGGGUAAGCUUACAUUAAUUGUGACGCACAUAAGGGGAAAGCUUACAGUACUUAGAGCCGGGCUUGUGUCCUUCCUUUGAGAGAGAUGGGUGUGUUUCCCAUAAUCUGCAUUCUGAGUGCUACAAUCUAAUAGUGAGGUUUGUUUAUGAAGAGUUGAGGAGUAUGAGUUUGGGUUCCACAUUGGCCAAUGUAAUAGAAAGAGCUUCCUUGAUGAGUUGAGUCUGUCGCACCUCCUUUUUACACUACAUUCUGCGAAGGGCG